GCCAGGCGUGGUGGCGCAUGCCUGUAAUCCCAGCUACUUGGGAGGCUGAGGCAGGAGAAUCGCUUGAACCCAGGAGGCUGAAGUUGCGGUUGAGCCGAGACUGCACCAUUGCACUCCAGCCUGGGUAACAGAGCAAGACCCUGUCUCAA
RNAcentral lists this signal recognition particle RNA (149 nucleotides) under Pongo abelii (Sumatran orangutan). RNAcentral's name for it is "Metazoan signal recognition particle RNA (ENSPPYG00000034863.1)". It matches the Rfam family "Metazoan signal recognition particle RNA". Rfam says of the family: The signal recognition particle (SRP) is a universally conserved ribonucleoprotein. It is involved in the co-translational targeting of proteins to membranes. The eukaryotic SRP consists of a 300-nucleotide 7S RNA and six proteins: SRPs 72, 68, 54, 19, 14, and 9. The record is from Rfam by way of RNAcentral. Lineage: Eukaryota; Metazoa; Chordata; Mammalia; Primates; Hominidae.